RNAcentral lists this small RNA (290 nucleotides) under Lutibaculum baratangense AMV1. RNAcentral describes it as "Phyllobacteriaceae bacterium AMV1 5' ureB small RNA". It matches the Rfam family "5' ureB small RNA". Lineage: Bacteria; Pseudomonadati; Pseudomonadota; Alphaproteobacteria; Hyphomicrobiales; Tepidamorphaceae. The record is from Rfam by way of RNAcentral.
CGUCCUCGACCUGCUGGGGGCAGAUGAAGUGGAUGUGGGCGUCCAUCGCGCCGGCGGUCAGGAUCUUUCCUUCGCCGGCGAUCGCCUCGGUCGAAGGGCCGAUCACGAUGUCGACGCCCGGCUGGAUGUCCGGGUUGCCGGCCUUGCCGAUGCCGACGAUCACUUCGUCUCUCAGGCCGACAUCGGCCUUCACGAUGCCCCAGUGGUCGACGAUCAGCGCGUUGGUGAUCACCGUGUCGACCGCGCCCUCGGCCCGGGACGCCUGGCUCUGGCCCAUGCCGUCGCGGAUG